UUAACUAAGGGAUGACGGAAGAAGAUAGUCAGGACAGCGGUAGGUAGUGCUGUUGAGAGGAUGUAGGGUGACACUUAGGAAAAUCCGGGUGUCGUAAGCCUGAGGUCCAGGACGAGGGUCGUAAGACCCGGAGUUGAUGAGUCUAUGCUCCCAAGAAAAGUCUCGUAGUGAAUCUUGUAUUGAACCGUACCACAAACCGACGCAGGUAGAUGCGGAGAACAUCCUAAGGCGCUUGAGUGAUCCCUGGUUAAGGAACUCGGCAAAUUGACCCCGUAACUUCGGGAGAAGGGGUGCCCCUGAGAGCGAAGUUUAACUAUGUAAGCUCACGGGGGUUGCAGUGAAAUGGUGGUAGCGACUGUUUACUAAAAACACAGGCCUAUGCUAAGUCGUAAGACGACGUAUAUGGGCUGACGCCUGCCCGGUGCUGGAGGGUUAAAAGGAGGAGUUAGUCGCAAGGCGAAGCCCCGAAUUGAAGCCCCAGUAAACGGCGGCCGUAACGAUAACGGUCCUAAGGUAGCGAAAUUCCUUGUCGGGUAAGUUCCGACCUGCACGAAAGGCGUAACGACUUCCACACUGUCUCAACCAGGUGCUCAGCGAAAUUGAAUUCGAAGUGAAGAUGCUUCGUUCCCGUGGAAAGACGAAAAGACCCUGUGAACCUUUACUAUAGCUUGGCAGUGAUAAGCGGGUUUGUUUGUGUAGGAUAGGUGGGAGACUAUGAAGCUUGGGCCUAGCUCAGGUGGAGUCAUCCUUGAAAUACCACCCUGACAAAGCUGCUUGUCUCACUACAACCCAUGAGCUGGGUUUAGGACACUGUCUGGUGGGUAGUUUGACUGGGGCGGUCGCCUCCGAAAGAGUAACGGAGGCGCGCGAAGGUUCCCUCAGGUUGAUUAGAAACCAACCGCAGAGUGCAAAGGCAUAAGGGAGCCUAACUGUGAGACAAACAAGUCGAGCAGGUGCGAAAGCAGGUCUUAGUGAUCCGGUGGUUCCGAAUGGAAGGGCCAUCGCUCAGCGGAUAAAAGGUACUCCGGGGAUAACAGGCUGAUCUCCCCCAAGAGUUCACAUCGACGGGGAGGUUUGGCACCUCGAUGUCGGCUCAUCACAUCCUGGGGCUGAAGUAGGUCCCAAGGGUUUGGCUGUUCGCCAAUUAAAGUGGUACGCGAGCUGGGUUUAGAACGUCGUGAGACAGUUCGGUCUCUAUCUUCCAUGGGCGCCGGAUAUUUGAGAGUGACUCGACCCUAGUACGAGAGGACCGGGUUGAACGUACCUCUGGUGUUCCAGUUGUCCUGCCAAGGGCAUUGCUGGGUAGUCAUGUACGGAAUAGAUAACCGCUGAAAGCAUCUAAGCGGGAAGCUAGCCUCAAGAUUAGAUAUCCCUGAAGAAUACUUGUAGACUACAAGUUCGAUAGGCAUGGUGUGUAAUGGUUGUAAGACCUUUAGCUAACAUGUACUAAUUAUUCGUUUGUCUAU
This 1466-nucleotide ribosomal RNA is filed under the name metagenome. RNAcentral describes it as "bacterial LSU rRNA". It matches the Rfam family "Bacterial large subunit ribosomal RNA", at positions 1458 to 2925 of the family's 2925-position model. The record is from RNAcentral.